GGAGAGGUGGCCGAGUGGUUGAAGGCGACGGUCUUGAAAACCGUAGGCACGCAAGUGCUCGUGAGUUCGAAUCUCACCCUCUCCGCCA
This 88-nucleotide transfer RNA is filed under the name Chloroflexota bacterium. RNAcentral's name for it is "tRNA-Ser". It matches the Rfam family "tRNA". Rfam says of the family: Transfer RNA (tRNA) molecules are approximately 80 nucleotides in length. Their secondary structure includes four short double-helical elements and three loops (D, anti-codon, and T loops). Further hydrogen bonds mediate the characteristic L-shaped molecular structure. tRNAs have two regions of fundamental functional importance: the anti-codon, which is responsible for specific mRNA codon recognition, and the 3' end, to which the tRNAs corresponding amino acid is attached (by aminoacyl-tRNA synthetases). tRNAs cope with the degeneracy of the genetic code in two manners: having more than one tRNA (with a specific anti-codon) for a particular amino acid; and 'wobble' base-pairing, i.e. permitting non-standard base-pairing at the 3rd anti-codon position. The record is from RNAcentral. RNAcentral also lists the same sequence under 1 other name. Lineage: Bacteria; Bacillati; Chloroflexota.